This 434-nucleotide ribosomal RNA is filed under the name uncultured bacterium. RNAcentral's name for it is "partial 16S ribosomal RNA". It matches the Rfam family "Bacterial small subunit ribosomal RNA", at positions 27 to 507 of the family's 1533-position model. The record is from RNAcentral.
GAACGAACGCUGGCGGCAUGCCUACCACAUGCAAGUCGAACGAGACCUUCGGGUCUAGUGGCGCACGGGUGCGUAACGCGUGGGAACCUGCCCUUAGGUUCGGAAUAACUCCCCGAAAGGGGUGCUAAUACCGGAUAAUGUCUUCGGACCAAAGAUUUAUCGCCUUUGGAUGGGCCCGCGUUGGAUUAGCUAGUUGGUAGGGUAAAAGCCUACCAAGGCGACGAUCCAUAGCUGGUCUGAGAGGAUGAUCAGCCACACUGGGACUGAGACACGGCCCAGACUCCUACGGGAGGCAGCAGUGGGGAAUAUUGGACAAUGGGCGAAAGCCUGAUCCAGCAAUGCCGCGUGAGUGAUGAAGGCCUUAGGGUUGUAAAGCUCUUCUACCCGGGAUGAUAAUGACAGUACCGGGAGAAUAAGCUCCGGCUAACUCCGUG